AUGGAGAAUUGAUGAACGCUGUUCAUCAAUAUAAGUUUCCGUGUUUCGUUUUGUUCAGUUUUGAGAGAACUAUCUCUCAUAUAUAAAUGUAUGUUCUUUGAAAACUAGAUAACAGUGUAGCUCAUAUUUUUUAAUUUUUAGUUU
Molecule: unclassified non-coding RNA, 144 nt
Filed under: Bacillus anthracis (anthrax bacterium)
Lineage: Bacteria; Bacillati; Bacillota; Bacilli; Caryophanales; Bacillaceae
Also listed under: 9 other names
Description: partial 16S-23S ribosomal RNA intergenic spacer
Source: RNAcentral